UACGAAGGGAGCUAGCGUUGUUCGGAAUCACUGGGCGUAAAGGGCGCGUAGGCGGGAUGGCAAGUCGGUCGUGAAAUCCUUCGGCUCAACCGAAGAACGUCGGCCGAUACUGCCGUUCUUGAGGGAUGCAGAGGAGACUGGAAUUCCCGGUGUAGCGGUGAAAUGUGUAGAGAUCGGGAGGAACACCGGUGGCGAAGGCGGGUCUCUGGGCAUCUCCUGACGCUGAGGCGCGAAAGCGUGGGGAGCAAACGGG
RNAcentral lists this ribosomal RNA (253 nucleotides) under uncultured bacterium. Its description in RNAcentral is "partial 16S ribosomal RNA". It matches the Rfam family "Bacterial small subunit ribosomal RNA", at positions 524 to 776 of the family's 1533-position model. The record is from RNAcentral.